RNAcentral lists this ribosomal RNA (253 nucleotides) under uncultured bacterium. RNAcentral describes it as "partial 16S ribosomal RNA". It matches the Rfam family "Bacterial small subunit ribosomal RNA", at positions 524 to 776 of the family's 1533-position model. The record is from RNAcentral.
GACGAAGGGGGCUAGCGUUGUUCGGAAUUACUGGGCGUAAAGCGAGUGUAGGUGGUUGUCCAAGUCGGAUGUGAAAGCCUUGAGCUCAACUCAAGAAAUGCAUUCAGGACUGGAUGGCUAGAGGACCGGAGAGGAUAGUGGAAUUCCCAGUGUAGUGGUGAAAUACGUAGAGAUUGGGAAGAACACCAGUGGCCAAGGCGGCUAUCUGGACGGUUUCUGACACUAAGACUCGAAAGCGUGGGGAGCAAACAGG